GAUGAACGCUAGCGGCAGGCCUAAUACAUGCAAGUCGGACGGGAUUGUGGAGCUUGCUUCACAUGAGAGUGGCGCACGGGUGCGUAACACGUAUGUAACCUACCUUGUUCAGGGGGAUAGCCUCUCGAAAGAGAGGUUAAGACCGCAUAAAAUCACAUACCGGAAUCAGUAAAUGAUCAAAUAUUUAUAGGAACAAGAUGGGCAUGCGGAACAUUAGCUAGUUGGUGAGGUAACAGCUCACCAAGGUUACGAUGUUUAGGGGAUCGGAGAGGAUGGUCCCCCACACUGGUACUGAGACGCGGACCAGAGGCCGACGGGAGGCAGCAGUAAGGAAUAUUGGUCAAUGGACGGAAGUCUGAACCAGCCAUGCCGCGUGCAGGAAGACGGCCCUAUGGGUUGUAAACUGCUUUUGCAGGGGAAUAAACCUCAUUACGUGUAAUGAGCUGAAUGUACUCUGAGAAUAAGGAUCGGCUAACUCCGUGCCAGCCGCCGCAGUAA
Molecule: ribosomal RNA, 498 nt
Filed under: uncultured bacterium
Lineage: Bacteria
Description: partial 16S ribosomal RNA
Rfam family: Bacterial small subunit ribosomal RNA
Source: RNAcentral